Molecule: long non-coding RNA, 774 nt
Organism: Dermochelys coriacea (leatherback sea turtle)
Lineage: Eukaryota; Metazoa; Chordata; Testudines; Dermochelyidae
Exons: 3
Source: RefSeq, a predicted model, not a curated record
GUGACGUGAAGGGCUUGGGAAAUGCAUUUGGUGCUUGUUUCCUUUUUUUCAGGCCCAAAACCUGGAGCUUCUGUCUCAGCUUCUGGGAGUAAGUUUCCCUCUGCUCUCCUGUAACAAGUAGGAGAAGAAAAACUGUUAUAAUUUGGAAGACGGGGUGACCCAUCAAAAGAAACUGGAUGAAGGUUUUCAACUCUUGUUCUAUUUGGAUUCUUCUAACACCCAAGGAGGUGGAGUCCUUGGCUUAUCUGGAGAGCGAGACUCCUACCCCUGAGAGAGAAACUGACACACAGCUGUAUCCCUUCAGAGCACAAGUAAGUGAAAACCUCACUGGACUAGACGACAAGGCUCUCCUCCCCAAUCUCCACCACUGCUGUGUGCUUAUGUAGUUAAUGGAAGGGGAAGCACAGCCAUCUCCAUGAGGAACUUAUUUCUCCUGGAGCUCCACCUCCUUCUAUCUCCUCGCUAGCUGAAGAAAUGAGGACUCACGAUGCAAAAGAAUCUGAAGAGGGAGCUGGGCUGGCACCUGGCUGUGCUGGUGCUGCCAGCCUUUCUUACCUGUGGAUGGAGGAGCAACAGAUCUUGCUUAAUGAAAAAAGAAGAGGUGUCCCAGCUGGGAGUCUCCUAGCCACCUUUUCAGGAAGCUAUCCCAUCCCCCACUUCUGCUGUCUCCCUACCCCUGCCAGUGGGAGAGGGGACAGAAACCUCCCACUCAUCCCUGCCCCUCCAAACCAAAUGAAACAUGCAUUUUGCAUAAAAUCUCUCUUUUGAAAUGUC